RNAcentral lists this ribosomal RNA (717 nucleotides) under Licinus punctatulus granulatus. RNAcentral's name for it is "partial 16S ribosomal RNA". The stretch from base 1 to 537 matches the Rfam family "Bacterial large subunit ribosomal RNA", at positions 1923 to 2925 of the family's 2925-position model. Lineage: Eukaryota; Metazoa; Arthropoda; Insecta; Coleoptera; Carabidae. The record is from RNAcentral.
UUGAAUGGCCGCAGUAAUUUGACUGUGCAAAGGUAGCAUAAUCAUUAGUUUUUUAAUUAAAAGCUUGUAUGAAAGGUUGGACGAGGUAAAAUCUGUCUCUAUUUAAUUUAAAUUAGAAUUUAAUUUUUAAGUUAAAAAGCUUAAAUAUUUAUAAAAGACGAGAAGACCCUAUAGAGCUUUAUAGUUAAAUUAUUAAAGUAAAUUUAGAUUUAUUUUAAUUUUAUUAAUUUAAUUAUUUUAUUGGGGUAAUAUAAAGAUUUAAAAAAUUCUUUUAAUUUAUAAACAUUAAUUUAUGAAUUAUUGAUCCAGUUUUAUUGAUUAUUAGAUUAAGUUACCUUAGGGAUAACAGCGUAAUUUUUUUAGAGAGUUCAUAUCGAUAAAAAAGUUUGCGACCUCGAUGUUGGAUUAAAAAUUAAUUUAGGUGUAGAAGCUUGAAUUUUUGGUCUGUUCGACCAUUGAAUUUUUACAUGAUCUGAGUUCAGACCGGUGUAAGCCAGGUUGGUUUCUAUCUUUAUUUAAUUAUAAUAUUUUAGUACGAAAGGACCAAAUAUUAAAUAUAUUUAUAUUUUAUUUUUUGAAUAUUAUUAAUUACUUUGGCAGAUUAGUGCAAUGAAUUUAGAAUUCAUAUAUGUAAUUAUUUUACAAGUAAUACUUGUUUUAUAUAGAUUUAUACUUUUCUUUAGUUUGUAUAUUUUUAUUGAUAAUUUGUGUUUUAGU